GAACUUGCCUCUUGGUCUGGGACAACUGUUGGAAACGACAGCUAAUACCGGAUAUUAUGAGAUUCUCGCAUGGGAAACUUAUGAAAGCUAUAUGCGCCAAGAGAGAGCCUUGCGUUCCAUUAGCUAGUUGGUGGGGUAACGGCCCACCAAGGCGACGAUGGAUAGCCGGCCUGAGAGGGUGAACGGCCACAAGGGGACUGAGACACGGCCCUUACUCCUACGGGAGGCAGCAGUGGGGAAUAUUGGACAAUGGGCCACAAGCCUGAUCCAGCAAUUCUGUGUGCACGAUGAAGGUCUUCGGAUUGUAAAGUGCUUUCAGUUGGGAAGAAGAAAGUGACGGUACCAACAGAAGAAGCGACGGCUAAAUACGUGCCAGCAGCCGCGGUAAUACGUAUGUCGCAAGCGUUAUCCGGAUUUAUUGGGCGUAAAGCGCGUCUAGGCGGAAAAAUAAGUCUGAUGUUAAAAUGCGGGGCUCAACUCCGUAUUGCGUUGGAAACUGUUUUUCUAGAGUACUGGAGAGGUGGGCGGAACUACAAGUGUAGAGGUGAAAUUCGUAGAUAUUUGUAGGAAUGCCGAUGGAGAAGUCAGCUCACUGGACAGAUACUGACGCUAAAGCGCGAAA
RNAcentral lists this ribosomal RNA (622 nucleotides) under uncultured bacterium. RNAcentral describes it as "bacterial SSU rRNA". It matches the Rfam family "Bacterial small subunit ribosomal RNA", at positions 122 to 758 of the family's 1533-position model. The record is from RNAcentral.